GAUGAACGCUGGCGGCGUGCCUAAUACAUGCAAGUCGAGCGAACAGACGAGGAGCUUGCUCCUCUGACGUUAGCGGCGGACGGGUGAGUAACACGUGGAUAACCUACCUAUAAGACUGGGAUAACUUCGGGAAACCGGAGCUAAUACCGGAUAAUAUAUUGAACCGCAUGGCUCAAUAGUGAAAGACGGUUUUGCUGUCACUUAUAGAUGGAUCCGCGCCGCAUUAGCUAGUUGGUAAGGUAACGGCUUACCAAGGCGACGAUGCGUAGCCGACCUGAGAGGGUGAUCGGCCACACUGGAACUGAGACACGGUCCAGACUCCUACGGGAGGCAGCAGUAGGGAAUCUUCCGCAAUGGGCGAAAGCCUGACGGAGCAACGCCGCGUGAGUGAUGAAGGUCUUCGGAUCGUAAAACUCUGUUAUUAGGGAAGAACAAAUGUGUAGUAACUAUGCACGUCUUGACGGUACCUAAUCAGAAAGCCACGGCUAACUACGUG
This 496-nucleotide ribosomal RNA is filed under the name uncultured bacterium. RNAcentral's name for it is "partial 16S ribosomal RNA". It matches the Rfam family "Bacterial small subunit ribosomal RNA", at positions 28 to 507 of the family's 1533-position model. The record is from RNAcentral.